ACAGGGUCAGUCUUGUGCAUGACUCCUGCUAGCAGUCUUGUCCCAAUGAUGUACAGUGCUACGCCUGCUACUGUCUCUGCAGCAACAACUCCUGCCACAAGUGUCCCCUACGCAGCAACAGCACCAGCCAAUCAGAUUAUCCUGAAAUAAGCGUCAGGAUGGGAAUGGAGUGUCACAAAGCUGCACUAGGAAACCCAAAACAGCCCCAGUGUAAAUACUACCUGACCUCUCCCAUAGAGGUCCAGCAACCUGCAUGCUAAGAGUGUAACACUUCAAUUUAACCAUACGAACUGCAGUGCCGGUGAAACACACACACAGAAAAAAGAUAUAUACUGUAUGUAUUGCUAGAAAAAAAACUAUUAACAUGAAAAAGUCAAAAAUAUUCUUAUGUAUUAUAGCAGACACACUAUAGAGGUCAUUUUAACAAAUGUUCUCCCAAAGUACCGUCGACCCCCCUCUCUUUCAUAUUUAUUCUAAAAACCUCUGCACAACAACGUUCACCCCCUUUGGUUAGUAAAAGAAUCAAGAUGCUUGAUUUGCACUGUAUGAAAAAACAGGAAGAGUCACAGGAAACCCGUGCACAGCCACACCGACGCACUCGGCGAGGGGUUUUCAAAAGUCUUGCGGUCUUUGCUUUUUUCUCGCCAUGAAGAUGAAUGUCCCUGGGGACAGACAGGCUCGUGUGUCCUCAACAUGUGACUGUCCCCUGCGAGGGUCCCUCCGCAGCCCUCACCCGCCCCAGAAGCUGUUGCGAUGCCAUGAUGAAGCUCAUCCUCCCCGCCUUGCCCCUCCCCUUUCGCCAACUUCUCAUCCCAGGAAACCAUCUUGCCAAAGUCGCGGCUCGGGAGAGGUCGAUGGAAUCACCGCCGCCCGAAUAAAAAAAGAGCCACACUAGCACCCAGACAAAUUCUUCUCUUUUGUUUUCUUUUGCCAUAGCGAGAAGCUGCUUGGAACGCGCCCUUUAUUUGUUUCGACGCUGGGUUCGGCUCUUUGUCGAGGAGGAGCAGUGGGGUAGAUUGUGCACGGAUUUUUGCAUGCAGUCAGGAACAGGGGAAGACAGUGCCCAGUGUUGACAGAAGAUAGUUGUGGCCAUUACUGAAAAGCCUAAAGGCUCGGGUCUGUGCCAAGGGCUUAACAAAGCUUGACGGUUCGUCCCAGACAUACCAAGCCUUGUGUGUGUGUGUGUGUGUGUGUGUGUGUGUGUGUAUAUGUGUGUGUUUCGUAUCUGGAGACUGAUGGUCUGCCGGCAGACUGGGACUUGAGGCGAGGUCUAGCAGGUGACGACAACACCAGGCCUGGUAGAGAGUCUUUUCGAGGGGUGGGUGAAGGAUUUAAGUGCUAAGACUAAACAAAAAACGGUGCAUUUGACGACGCUCGUCAAGAAAAAAAAACAAAAACAAAAAAAGAUGACUUGAACUUCGACUGGAGGGCUAUCUGUGACCGUCGGUUGUCCUGUCCAACCCUACUAUCACCGAUAAUCCUGUUCCAUUUUAGAAAACUCGUAGAAGUGCCUAAAAAAUGCUCAUCGACUCAACAACACGUGCAUCCGGAGUGUAUCACUAAAAGUCACAGACGCAAACACACACCGUCAGAACAUGGACCUUUUUUUUUUCCCGGGGAAAUAACAUCACACUUUCUCAGUUCCCGGAGGCGGUCUCCGCUUCGUCGACAUCACAAGUGACUUAACGAAGUGACGAAAACAAAAAGAAGUUGAAGAAACGACAAAUCAAAACAUAGCUUUGUAGAAUGUUUGGUGACUUUCAUGGUGUACCAUUGUUUCUUACCAUGGUUUGAGUAGUUUACAUGAGGAACGUGAGUGAGAAAAAAAAAACAUGUAUUGUAAACUGUGUAAUGUAUGUAAGGUGUCUCUUAUUUUGAGAGUUUAUAUUCAUAGUUUUAGAAAUAUAUUCAAAGUUAUUUAAAAUUUUGUGUUGUGUCUCCUAUCGAGGUAUGUUACGACCCCCCCAUAAACCCCCACCACCACCUCCACCCCCCAGAACAAUCACGUUUAGAUCAUAAAGUGUUAUUUUAUUAUUUGAGACCCUCUUUAGCCUGUUCGAACUCAUUAUACUAAAUUUUAUUCUCCUUUUUCUUUUUCAAAAAAAAUCUGAUGUAAUUUCAUGGUGCUUGAUUAACAUUGACAAUCCACAAUCAGACCUUUUCGGAAACGCCUCACUCGAGUUUCCGCAUUUUCACUUCGACUCGUCUCCACGUGAAUUUCUUUUUUGUUUUGAUUCGUGUGUAAUAUCCGUGGCAGGUGGUGAAAGCUUCUAUUUUGUUGUAAUUUAUCUUGUGUUACUCUUGGUCAAAUUUUAGUUGGAAAAAAAGAAAUGUUGUAAACUAUUCUAUUUUGAGAUGAAUGUAAUUUAUUGAGCUGUGCUACGUCACUGCACGGUUGGUCAUUUCAAGGUCUAACCUGUCAGGUCAGCGAAUGAGAAGUCGGGGGGCGGGGCGGCGUUUAAAAAAGUCGACCCGCCAAUAGAAAGCUACUGGAUCUCUCUUGCCUUGUCAUUGAUAAAAAAAUUAAAAAAUCACGGUGUCGCAGUAAUGAGCAUAGUUAUAGACUCGUCUGUGUUGUUGGAAAAAAAAAAAUGUUUAUUGUAUAGAUGACAUUUUACCAAAAAAAAAAGAGAAUAAAAUUUCAAAAAAGAUGUACUUUUCACUCUAGUAUAAUAGUAUUUCAUAACAAUAUUAAGUUGUUGCUGUGGCAACCAAAUGUUGCAAUUACUAAAGUUCGGUAUUUUUGUAAAUGACAUUGUUAAGUUUCUUCUUUUUUUUUUUUUUUUUUUGCUAGAACACUGUACACACGGUAGAUUGUAAAGAAGAUACGAACAUUUCUUAUUCUUCACUGAGAUUACGACAAUGACCUAAUAUUUUCAUUAGCGAAUAACAGCCUCUGUAGUGCUGUGACCGUAACACUUAAAUAGAUUAAAAGUCAUCAAUGUUACAUAGAUUAUAUAUAUAAAUAUAUAUAUAUAUAAGAACUAAAUAAUCUAUAAAUUAAUAAGUUGAGAUGUACAGCUCCUCCCCUGACAAAGGACCUUGAGGUUCCACUCUGAGACAUUUUAUUCGAGGCGUAUGUAUCACUAGAGUUAAGGAUUGCACUUUUCAUAAUGUUUAAAGAUGUGAUCUGUUUUUUUUUUUUGUUUCCUCUGCUACUACAACAAAUCUGUUUAUCAAUCAAAAGCAGAUAACACACAGUGAAUAACUUUAAUUCAACAUGUUGCAUGGGAAAAACAAUCUUUUUUUUCUUUUCUUACUAAAUGAUACUGAAUGUUACUAGUGAAAAAAAACACACACGUCUGUACACAACACGUCCUCAAUUGGUUACCCACGAUGCCCCUGUGUAUGGAAUCUUCUUGAGACGUGAUGUUUUUAGAAAUGUGUCGGCGGUGAUUGACUGAUGAUGGUUUUAAAACAAAAAAAGAAGAAAAGAACAUGUAAGCACUUUCUGAGCAGUUGGCCAACUGAGCAGACUCAGCUUAUCCAAACACUUUGCCUUAUCUUGAGUCCAUCGUGCUUGAAGGUUUUCUGUUUUUAAAAGCUCUUAAUGAAAUUUAUUCAAAGAGACGUGAAGGCGUCUCUCUCCCCGAAUCCCUCCUCGAUUUAAUUCCGAACCUUUAUAUCAAAAUUUUUUAAGUUGGCCAAAAGACGGCGACUGCAGCAGAGUGAACAGUCUCCUGAACGUUACCUCCGGUCUCCCAAAGAUCUGUAGUGACAUCUUUUUAUUUUUGUCCCAUUGCCUCACAAUGGAACAGUUUGGAUUUGUAACUCACAGCUUUAGCCAGCAGAGGGCACUACAGUGGAGACUGCAGGUGACGGGCGGUGACUGCCUGUGCCAUCGAUGUUGCAGUGCAGCCAAGAUAAAUUGACCCUCAUCGGAUUUAUAGUUUCAAUGUAAUCGUUUCUUAAUGUAUUCUUUUGCAUAUAUUUUGUGCUAUUUUAUGUUUCUAUAGUCCAAUGUUCCUUUGGUUCCAGCGAGAUAGUGUAAAAUCUAUUGGAAGACAGAAAUAAAGAAAA
Non-coding RNA from Paralichthys olivaceus (Japanese flounder), 4020 nucleotides. The record is from RefSeq and is a predicted model, not a curated record. NCBI's taxonomy places the organism in Eukaryota, Metazoa, Chordata, Actinopteri, Pleuronectiformes, Paralichthyidae.